GACUGUAAAUAUAGAUUAUUAAUUGUCAUAACUCUUUACAUUAAAGAGAAGGCAUAUUUUGAACCGGGCUCUAUUUUUUUGUGCAUAUUUGUCAAGUUUGUGUCAAACAUUGGGCAAACGAUACCCCCUUGAACGGUUGUUGCUAAGUAACGGGAGAGACGCCCAGUCAACAUCUGAGCGCAGGAUGGCUGAGGAAGAAGUUGAGAAGAUUAUUCGUCACACCAAGCGUAUUUUUAUCAACAACUUUGACUCCUAUGCCUCGAAAUGUAUCGCAAAGUUCUUGUCUGCCUGUGUAGUGGGGGCGUCCCUGGUGGAAACUGACGAGCCAGAGGUGGAGGAAGGGGAAGAGAGGCUGUCCAAAGAUGAGCAUCCAAAAGUCAAAGAGGGAACCUUUCAAAUUGUCGGGACUGUUGCAAACAAAAACGAAAGAAGACCAAGUUAUGUGUUGGAUGAAUAUUUUCAACUGAAAAGGGAAGAACUCCUGGAGCGCCUGAUGGAGUGUGAUAUCAUAAUUUACAACAUCACCGAGGAUGCUGACCAGAUGGACGAGGCCUCUUGGGCAAUCUCAGCCCUUCAUGCUGAGAUGGCCAGGUUCAGUCAGCCAAAGAUGUUCAUCCUCAUUUCAACUGUAAUGACCUGGGCACUCAGCAAGCCUGUCGAUGCGGAUGACCCUGAGAUUCCAUUCACUGAGGAAGACUACAGGAGAAGAAGAGCCCAUCCCAACUUCAAAGAGCAUAUCAACGUUGAAAAACUUGUGGUCAAAAUGGGCAAAACGAAAAGUUCAUUGCUCUCCACAUACGUAGUUGCCUCAGGAGUUCAGUAUGGAAUGGGAGAGCAAGUCUUCCACUUCUUCUUCAAGACAUCUUGGUUGGGAGACUUGCCCAAAGUCCCUAUCUUUGGAGAAGGCACCAAUGUCAUUCCUACUAUUCACAUCAAUGACCUUGCAGGAGUGAUCCAGAAUGUAAUUGACCACAAGCCAAAACCACAUUACUUAGUCGCUGUGGAUGAUUCCAAGACCACUAUCGAUGACAUUGUAAAGACAAUAGCCGAUGUGGUGGGGCCAGGAAAGACCAAGAGAGUGCCAAAAGAGGAUGCUUUUCUCACUCGGGAUUUGAGACAAAUGGACAUCGAUGCUCUUUUUGUCAACCUUCGGAUUGAGGCUGUCUACCUGAAAGAGAACUUCAACAUCCACUGGGUGUGUGAGUCUGGUCUCAUAGACAACAUUGACCGUGUUGUGGAGGAAUACAAGCAAACCAGGGGCCUGCUGCCCAUCCGAGUGUGUAUCAUGGGCCCUCCAGCAGUGGGAAAGAGCACAGUAGCAGAGAGGAUCUGUAAACACUACAAACUGCACCACAUCAGACUCAAGGAAACCAUCACUGAGACCCUUGCACACCUGGAGUCUAUCAUUAGGAUGGAGGACGGAGAGACUGAGGCAGAGGAUUCUGCCACCUCAUCAGAACUCCUGGAGACUUUGAAGGAGAACAUGGAUCAAAAUGGAGGUCGACUGGAUGACCAGUAUGUGAUCAGGAUCAUGAGAGACAAGCUGAAGUCAAAGCAGUGCAGGAACCAGGGUUUUGUCCUGGACAGCUUUCCCAAGACAUAUGAACAGGCCAAGGACCUGUUCUAUGCUGAUGAUGAUGAGCCAGAGGAUAUGAGGUCAAAGAUCCCUCCAUUCAACAAGAAGAUAAUUCCAGAGUUUGUGUUCUCCCUGGACACCUCCGAUGCAUUCCUGAAGAACCGUGUCCUGAACCUCCCGGAGAGCCUGGUGGAGGGAACGUCCUAUUCCCAGGAGCAGUUCCUGCGCCGCCUUGCCAGGUUCCGGGAGAGCAACGUGGAGGACGAAACCGUCCUCAACUACUUUGAAGAGCUAGAUAUUCACCCGGAGCACAUUGAGAUCACCAGCAGUGACGACCAGCAGUACCUGGUGGUGACAGAGAGGAUCAUCAAGUCAGUGGGGAAGCCUAAGAACUACGGCCCCACCAGCCAGGAGCUGGAGGAGGAGGAGAGGAGGAGCGCAGACCACCGGCUGAGAACGGAGGCCCAGAAGAGGGCUGACACAGAGAGGUGGGAGACAGAGGAGGCCCAGCAGAGAGCAGCCCGCUGGGAGGAGUGGAGUAAGUGUCUGGAGGAGGUGAAGAAGCAGGAGCAUGAUCUCCUGGAGGUCCAGUCUGUUCCCCUGAGAAACUAUCUGAUGAAGAACGUCAUGCCCACUCUCACCCAGGGCCUGAUCGAGUGCUGCAAAACCAGGCCUCAGGACCCUGUUGAUUUCCUGGCAGAAUAUCUCUUCAAGAACAACCCCCAAGUGGAGUGAAAUGGGACUUGUCUUCAAGAUUUAUAACCUCAUAUCAGUACCAUCUACAUUUCAGAAUUACCAUUACUUAAAAGCCCUGAGAACUGGAUGAAAGCCUGACUGAAGCCAACAGCUAAUUAACAUGUUAAUUUGCGUAAUGAACUUGGGUGCGCUUGGUAACUAAAAAGUAGACCCAGUCGGGUCAUAAUGACUUUGAUUUGGCUUGUGAUUUCAAAGGAUAAAUGUUAAAAAUGGCA
RNA transcript from Salmo salar (Atlantic salmon), 2547 nucleotides. It is a transcript of the gene named adenylate kinase 7b, with no coding region annotated. Lineage: Eukaryota; Metazoa; Chordata; Actinopteri; Salmoniformes; Salmonidae. The record is from RefSeq and is a predicted model, not a curated record.